RNAcentral lists this ribosomal RNA (468 nucleotides) under uncultured bacterium. RNAcentral's name for it is "partial 16S ribosomal RNA". It matches the Rfam family "Bacterial small subunit ribosomal RNA", at positions 28 to 507 of the family's 1533-position model. The record is from RNAcentral.
GACGAACGCUGGCGGCGUGCUUAACACAUGCAAGUCGAACGGAAAGGCCCUGAUUUUGUGGGGUGCUCGAGUGGCGAACGGGUGAGUAACACGUGAGUAACCUGCCCUUGACUUUGGGAUAACUUCAGGAAACUGGGGCUAAUACCGGAUAGGAGCUCCUGCUGCAUGGUGGGGGUUGGAAAGUUUCGGCGGUUGGGGAUGGACUCGCGGCUUAUCAGCUUGUUGGUGGGGUAGUGGCUUACCAAGGCUUGGACGGGUAGCCGGCCUGAGAGGGUGACCGGCCACAUUGGGACUGAGAGACGGCCCAGACUCCUACGGGGGGCAGCAGUGGGGAGUAUUGCACAGUGGGCGGGAGCCUGAUGCAGCAACGCCGCGUUCGUAAUGACGGCCUGCGGGUUAUAAACCGCUUUCGCCUGUGACGAAGCGUGAGUGACGGUAAUGAGUAAAGAAGCACCGGCUAACUACGUG